RNA transcript from Toxorhynchites rutilus septentrionalis, 6291 nucleotides. It is a transcript of the gene named golgin subfamily A member 4, with no coding region annotated. The transcript has 8 exons. Lineage: Eukaryota; Metazoa; Arthropoda; Insecta; Diptera; Culicidae. The record is from RefSeq and is a predicted model, not a curated record.
CGACAGUCACAAGCGCUGUCACUGUUGACUGCAGGGAGAAAAUUUUCUUACACGUAGUUUUUCGUCUUUCGCACUUUCGGAAUCUUCCGUUUUUUUGUGGAACAAACAGUUGAUUAUUCGCGUAACCGGAGUCACUUUUCGUGCGUUGAUUGGUGCCACCCAAUGUCCACUAUCUUCGUAAUGUUGUAGAUGUGAAAAAACGAGCCAUUUAACUGUUGGAAAUGUUCAAAAAACUAAAGGAUAAAAUCACCGAAGAGGUGAAGCAAUCUCCGCAGCGAUUUGAGCAACUGUCCAAGGGUAUACAGGCGGCAGUCAGUUCGGCUUCCUCAACCACUUCAGAAGUCUCCGGGAAUGAGAAUUUCUUCAGCAUUACAGAGGAUGAUACUCCUCAAAACUCACCGUUACGUAACUCGCAAGCGCUAGCAGGAAAAGGUACCAGCACACCGGUCCAACAGCAACAACAGAAUUUGCUCAAUAACAACAUGUCAGGCAAGAGUAGUAACACUUCGACCAGUUCACCGUCAAACAGUAACGAUAACAGCGACAACAGCUCAGUAUUUUCCAAUGUGACCGGUGGAAAUGUGGUGGCUGGUAGUAGUAACAGUAAUAGCAAUAAUGGCGUUUCGCCGAUCGUGAGUCGGGUGCGUCGGUUAUCCAACUCUUCGAUGGCCAGUGACGUGUCCUUCCGCCUGCCGGCGUACGAUUCUCCUGCCCUCUUCCAUUUGGAGACUGAUAUCGAUGUGUCGGCCAGUGAAACUGAAUCUGUAUCCGGCUCCGCUGCCACCAACGGACAGCUGGAUCUAGUGAGCAAGGAUAAACUAUUCCAGGCGUACAAAAAGGCCCUCGAUCGAUAUCAGAAGUACCGGGAGCGGUAUACCGAGUUGGCACGACGAUAUCGAGAACUGGAAAAGGACAACAUGAAGGCUCGAUCCGUACUGGGGGAAACUCAAGAUAAGGCACUGCGGAGAAUAAGCGAAUUGAGGGAGCAGUGCUCGCUGGAACAGCAGGCUAAAGCCCACCUGGAUUCGGCGUUACGGAUGGAGAUUGAUGAGCUUCAGUGUGUUGUGAAAACGCUUAAAUCAAAACUUGAAGCAGUGGCGGAUCAGCCAAACGACUCAUCAAAGAGCGCUGAGAAUGAUUUGAUAACUCUGUCCGGUAAUGAUGGUCUGGAGGAUAAAAUCAAAGAGUUGGAAGCGAAGUUGGUAGAGGAGAUGAAACUCAAGACUGCUCUGGAGCAAGAAGUGGUUUUGUUGAAGAAAAGAGAGGAAGAGCAUUCCAUUUCGGUGGCGGAGAAUAAGAUGGCGAUUCACUCGGAACUGGAAAGCAAGGAAUCAGAGGUACGAAAAUUGAAAGAGCAGUUGAUGAGUAUCGAGAAGAACAUCAAGAAGGUGCUGGUAGAUAAAGAAAGUUUAGGAAAAGAAGUGACCGAGCUGAGAAGCAAACUUGCCUCGACAGAACGAGCCGCCGCAAAAGUGAAGGAGCUCGAAAGUACGGUUGCAACGUGCAACGAGCAGAAGAACAAAUUGGAAUCCAAAUUCGUCGAGUUCGAACGUAGCAUUUUAGAGCUGGAAAAGGAAAAGCAUCAAAUGAAGGUGGACACCCAGAAUCUCGAACACGAGAAAAGUGAACUAUCCAAUAAGCUGAAUCACUUCGAACGGAAGUUCGAAAAAAGCACUAAAGAGAACGAACUCUUGUCAGCGAAAUUUGAAGAACUGGAAAAGCUGUCCAAAAAUCUAAGUAGCACCGAAGAACUUGCAGCUCUGCAAAUUCAAAACAAAGAACUGUCCGAAAGCAGGGAUGAACUGCAAAAAACAAUCGCUGCGACACUUUCGGAAUUAGAUAAGUACCGUCAAAGUCAAGUGGAGAACGAACAGUAUGUGCAAGACACAAACAAGAAAAUUGAAGAGCUUAAAAAUUCCUUACUAGAUAGCGAAAAAAACAUUCAAGAACUACAAGCCAAAUUAGUGCAACAAGAAUUGGUCCACAAAGAAGACUCCACUCGGCUUGAAUCCACCGCAAAAGAGUUGACAGAAAACAACAAGAAAAUAGAACAUCAAGAAGACGAAAUCUUGAAAUUGAAGAAAACCAUUUCCCUUGAUCAGGAACGUCUCAUAGAAGUAUCGAAAGCUCUCGAUGCACAAAAAGAAAUCCACGACCGUGACCGGGCCAGCAAUGAAGCCAGCCUCAAGGAUGUCUUCGAUCAAAACAAUCAUCUGACAGCAGAGCUGAAACAAUUCAAAGACAAACUGGAGAAGGUGAAUGCCAAGUUUAAAAAGAUGACCGAGGAAAAGGGAAGCCUAAAAUCUCAGAAUGAACAACUGCAGUCGGAUAUAAAAACUUGCAAACACGAGAUCAACAGUCUGCUGCAGCAGAAAGCCUCUCUCACGGAGGAGAUACGGAAUUUGAAAAUAAUCAACGAAAACUCCGAAUCGGAAGCGCUGAAGUCACUGCAGGAAUCGAUGAGGGCUAGCCUUGCCCAGGCGGACGAACGGUUGCUGGAAACAACGCGGGAUUUGAACGAUGUGAUCGAGCUCAAGUCGGAAGAGAAUCGAAGACUCUCAGAGGAACGGGAUGAACUUACCGAAAAACUGGACUGCAUGCACAAGGAGAAAGAAGAUCUCGCGUCCGAGUCGACAACAUUGAAGGCCAAGGUAGAAUCAUUACGCAACGAAAAGAGGGAUCUGGAGAAAACACUUGAACGGGAAAUUCGUGAGAAAACGGAACUCAAGGCGCAAGUUACCAACAUUCUACAAGAGAUCGGUCGGUUGGAGGAACAACUAAAGGAUGUAAAAACCUCCCACUCGGCUAUUUUGAACGAAAAACAAUCGCUAGAGGAGAAAAUCGAGCGGCUGCAGAGACAACACACCGAGUCCAAGAGCAAGGCAGACAAGGAGAAUACUCACAAGUGGCAAACCAAGUUCAAGGAAAGCGAAGUGAAGCUGCAAAAUGUGGAGUGCGAAAAUUCGCAACUGGCUGAGAAAAACUGUUUACUAGAGGAGAGCAACCGAAGGACAUCGGAGGAGAUCAAGAGAUUGCAGACAUCGCUGCAGGAAGCUGAGUCUGCCGUCAAGCAGGAGAAGAAGAAACACAAGGAAGCGAACGCGCAGCUGGAGGAAUUGAAGAAAAAAUGUCACGAGUUGCAAGAAAAGAAUGAAACAGCUGCAAAUCAACUGAAACAGUGCGCUGGUGAUAACGCCAAGUUGUUCAACGAGAAAGAGCUUCUGGACCAUCAGUAUCGAUCUCUGCAGGAUGAGCUGGAAGCUAAGGAAAAAGAGAAGCUGUGUGUGCUGGACAGCAACAAAUGCCUGACGGAAGAAGUGUUGGAAACGAAGAACAGUAUGGAGGUCCUGGAGGAAGAGAAGAACAGGCUUAGCAAAGAGUGUGAUGAACUGAAGAAGGAGAUCGAAGCAGCACGAACGGAGAGUGAUUAUCUGAAAGGUAAACAAAACGAACUGAAAGCCAGGCUGGAGGAGGAAAAACAGACUCUCCAGCAGCAAAAUGAAGCCCUUCGGAAGGAGAUCGACCUGACGAAGGCGGGCAAUCAGAGUCGUUUGCAAGAGUUCGAAGCGUUGAUGAAGAAAGCCAAUGACGAGAAGCAAUCGAUGAGCAAAAAUGCCACUGAUCUGGAGAAGAAGUUGGAAAACUAUGAAGAAAUCAAAAUCGAAAACGAAUAUCUUAGCACGUUAAUCAAACAGUUAGAAGCGGAAAUGCACACACUCAAGGAUGAGAAAGCGAAGCUAAUUGCGUCCGCUAGUGGGAAAGAUGCGGAGAUCGGCACAUUGAGGACAAAGCUAAACCAAAACGAAUCGACCAUUGAGACAAAAGAUCAGGAAAUUAAGAAGCUCAUCAAUGAGUUCGUGAGUAAAGAGAACGAGAUGAAGGCAAAGAUUUUGACGCUGGAGCACGCGAAAUCGGAGUCCGAGAAGCUUAAAGCAAAAACGAGUACCGAGCUGGAGGCGGAAAAAUCGAGGCUUUCAGAGCUUGAGGAGACAGUUUCCAAAGAGCAGGCACUACGAGGCGAGAUCGAGCAGGAGAACAAAGAUUUGAAACAACGGCUGGAAACAGAGCAGGAACAAAUCGAAAUGCUGAAAAAAGAGGUGCACAGUGUGCAGGAGCUGAGAUUAGAGAAUGAGAAUUAUACUCGUGAUCUGGAUGAGUUGAAGAGCGAACUGAAUAUAGCAAUAGCAGAGAAGUUGGAACUGGUGGAACAGCACUCGAAGCUGAAGGAGAAGUUUGAUACCUUCAGUGCUGAUACGGAACGAAGUGUGGAACGGUUUAAGACGGAGUUCAAAGUAUUGCAGCAGCAGCAAGAGGGCACCAAUAAUAAUCUGGACGAUGGUGAUGAUAAAAUCAAAGCGUUCGAUGAGAUGCGAAACAAGAAGGAAGAAUUGGAGAACAAGCUGAAGAAAAUUAUGCACGAAGUGCAGGAUGUGUCGAACAGAAACUUGUUUUUGGAGCAAAAAUGCGAGAAUUAUCUGAUCUUGGAGCAGUCGAAUGAACGUCUAAAGCUACAAAAUGAUAAGCUGUCGCGCCAAUUGGAUGAAACGCUGAUUUCGAUGCAUCACACCGAGGGCAUAUCAGCGAACACAGAGUUUGAGUACUUACGGAAUAUCCUAUUCCAGUAUCUAAGUGGUAACGUUAACGGUAACAAUUCCACACUUGUUAAAGUGAUAGCAGCCGUUCUCAAAUUUACCCCUCAGCAAACUCAGGUUGUGUUAGAAAAGGAGGCGCAUCGACGGUCACUGGUGGGACAGAUCAACAAUCUUCUAUAGCAGGAAAAAUCUAGUGCCGUGCAGCAGAAACUGCUGCAUUCCCGUGCCACCCGUUAUCGGUACUAUUAAGCCAACAGUGAUUAGAUCGUUCAACGUGGCAACAAACAAAAAAAGCUUCCGAAUGCUGGCUGACCAAACCACGAAUAUCAUAACCUUUGCAGCCACCACUUAUCUUGGUGUGAGAGAAAAUUCCCAUAAAGCCAAUGCGUGUUGAAGUGCGCGCAGAUGGCAAGCUGUUUUACAACUUUCCCUUAACCCAAUGCCCCAUGUUCUUCCGCGCUACUACCCUCUGACCGGCCAACCAGCACCACAGUGGUUAUCUCAAAAACGUGUGUACGAAGACCUCCCGAAAAUGUUGAACACAAUGGUGAGGAAUGUGAUCCAGCAGGAAAACGGGGCAGCAACUUUCGAUCAACAUCAGUGAUACACACAAAGACAUAACUCAUAAUACACAACCACCAUAAGAACAAUACGAAUCCCCAUGCUGGUGAUAGCUCGAUAGAGACAGACUGCCACAUUUUCCAUUCCACAACAAUUAAUAUUCACCUCAGCGCUCGAUCAUCGACUAUAUGGCUCAGGAAGAGUUCAGCGAAUUUCCGUAAGUGGUAGGUCACCUGGAUAGUGUCCGCGUCUAUAUCCAUUCGGCGAAUCUGUCGCUCGAGUUCGGUGAAUUUGGUGGAAUUAUCCAUCGUGGCUCGAUGGCUAGCUGGGUUCACACGACACGCGUCAGCUGAGUGUUUUCGGGGUUCGUCGAUUUUAAUCACUUCACACUGCUCAGGGCUACCCUCGAAAGUAAUCUUUCAUUAGAAACUAUUCACGCAUUUUGAAACGAACCACACUGCCAGAUUGGGAUGAGUGUCACACAACAAUCUCUAAUCGUUAACACUCUUGCUAAAUCGGUUUGCGAGCGCACGCCUUGUUGUUUCUUCUAUUGUUGCAAUUUUGUUUACUUGUAAUUACAUGUUUUCUUCUUUGCACUCUGAUGUUUGCGGAAGUAGACCUCAGAUCGUCACGCGGCUAGACGAACGAGUUUCAUUCAUGUAAAACACGAACAACAUGCGCACGUUGUUGUCGAAGAUGCUUGCGCCACGAGAUACCGAGUACUAAUGAAUCUCUUUUUUAUACAUUCAGAGAUCCGCUUCUGCUGCCUGGUCAAUAUAAAAAGUAGCGCUACUCACGAAUAUAUGGAUGGCGCUUAGUUUUUUUUUUGUUCUCCGAGUGGAGCAAUAAACCCCCCGUCUGUCACUAACACAGUCCGAUUAACGGUGCAAUGAAUGUGCUGAGCGCGUAUGAGUACCCACUUAAACCGGCGCGACGCGGCCUCCGGUGGCUAUAUGGGAGAGCGAAUGUUGUUUUGUGGUUGUGGCAAAGUUUGAUUGCGCUAAAAAUUGACCCUCUCGCGGCUGUGAGGAACGCGAACGCGAAUACGUCUGUUCAAAUGUAUGAUUUUUUUAUGGAUUAAUUUCAGAUACCGGUUGUCAAUGAUAAUAGAACCCUUAUCUGUCGGUGAUACUCUGAU